AUUGAACGCUGGCGGCAGGCCUAACACAUGCAAGUCGAGCGGAUGAAGGGAGCUUGCUCCUGGAUUCAGCGGCGGACGGGUGAGUAAUGCCUAGGAAUCUGCCUGGUAGUGGGGGAUAACGUCCGGAAACGGGCGCUAUUACCGCAUACGUCCUGAGGGAGAAAGUGGGGGUUCUUCGGACCUCCCGCUAUCAGAUGAGCCUAGGUCGGAUUAGCUAGUUGGUGGGGUAAAGGCCUACCAAGGCGACGAUCCGUAACUGGUCUGAGAGGAUGAUCAGUCACACUGGAACUGAGACACGGUCCAGACUCCUACGGGAGGCAGCAGUGGGGAAUAUUGGACAAUGGGCGAAAGCCUGAUCCAGCCAUGCCGCGUGUGUGAAGAAGGUCUUCGGAUUGUAAAGCACUUUAAGUUGGGAGGAAGGGCAGUAAGUUAAUACCUUGCUGUUUUGACGUUACCAACAGAAUAAGCACCGGCUAACUUCGUG
RNAcentral lists this ribosomal RNA (484 nucleotides) under uncultured bacterium. Its description in RNAcentral is "partial 16S ribosomal RNA". It matches the Rfam family "Bacterial small subunit ribosomal RNA", at positions 30 to 507 of the family's 1533-position model. The record is from RNAcentral.